Molecule: ribosomal RNA, 253 nt
Filed under: uncultured bacterium
Lineage: Bacteria
Description: partial 16S ribosomal RNA
Rfam family: Bacterial small subunit ribosomal RNA
Source: RNAcentral
UACGGGGGGGGCAAGCGUUGUUCGGAAUUACUGGGCGUAAAGGGUUCGUAGGUGGCUUGCUAAGUCAGACGUGAAAUCCCUCAGCUUAACUGGGGAACUGCGUCUGAGACUGGUGAGCUUGAGUGCAGGAGAGGAACGCGGAAUUCCAGGUGUAGCGGUGAAAUGCGUAGAUAUCUGGAGGAACACCGGUGGCGAAGGCGGCGUUCUGGACUGCUACCGACACUGAGGAACGAAAGCCAGGGGAGCAAACGGG